Molecule: ribosomal RNA, 135 nt
Filed under: uncultured bacterium
Lineage: Bacteria
Also listed under: 1 other name
Description: partial 16S ribosomal RNA
Rfam family: Bacterial small subunit ribosomal RNA
Source: RNAcentral
UGGGGAAUAUUGGACAAUGGGCGAAAGCCUGAUCCAGCAAUGCCGCGUGAGUGAUGAAGGCCCUAGGGUUGUAAAGCUCUUUUACCCGGGAUGAUAAUGACAGUACCGGGAGAAUAAGCCCCGGCUAACUCCGUG